Molecule: transfer RNA, 61 nt
Filed under: Ictidomys tridecemlineatus (thirteen-lined ground squirrel)
Lineage: Eukaryota; Metazoa; Chordata; Mammalia; Rodentia; Sciuridae
Description: Spermophilus tridecemlineatus (thirteen-lined ground squirrel) tRNA
Rfam family: tRNA
About the family: Transfer RNA (tRNA) molecules are approximately 80 nucleotides in length.
Source: Rfam by way of RNAcentral
UAUAGCUUAGUGGUAGAGCAUUUGCCUAGCAUGCAUGAGGCCCUGGGUUCAGUCCCCCGUA